AGAGUUUGAUCCUGGCUCAGGAUGAACGCUGGCGGCGUGCUUAACACAUGCAAGUCGAACGAUGAACCUCACUUGUGGGGGGAUUAGUGGCGAACGGGUGAGUAACACGUGAGUAACCUGCCCUUAACUCUGGGAUAAGCCUGGGAAACUGGGUCUAAUACCGGAUAUGACUGACCGUCGCAUGGUGGUUGGUGGAAAGCUUUUUGUGGUUUUGGAUGGACUCGCGGCCUAUCAGCUUGUUGGUGAGGUAAUGGCUCACCAAGGCGACGACGGGUAGCCGGCCUGAGAGGGUGACCGGCCACACUGGGACUGAGACACGGCCCAGACUCCUACGGGAGGCAGCAGUGGGGAAUAUUGCACAAUGGGCGCAAGCCUGAUGCAGCGACGCCGCGUGAGGGAUGACGGCCUUCGGGUUGUAAACCUCUUUCAGUAGGGAAGAAGCGAAAGUGACGGUACCUGCAGAAGAAGCGCCGGCUAACUACGUGCCAGCAGCCGCGGUAAUACGUAGGGCGCAAGCGUUAUCCGGAAUUAUUGGGCGUAAAGAGCUCGUAGGCGGUUUGUCGCGUCUGCCGUGAAAGUCCGGGGCUCAACUCCGGAUCUGCGGUGGGUACGGGCAGACUAGAGUGAUGUAGGGGAGACUGGAAUUCCUGGUGUAGCGGUGAAAUGCGCAGAUAUCAGGAGGAACACCGAUGGCGAAGGCAGGUCUCUGGGCAUUAACUGACGCUGAGGAGCGAAAGCAUGGGGAGCGAACAGGAUUAGAUACCCUGGUAGUCCAUGCCGUAAACGUUGGGCACUAGGUGUGGGGGACAUUCCACGUUUUCCGCGCCGUAGCUAACGCAUUAAGGCC
This 847-nucleotide ribosomal RNA is filed under the name uncultured bacterium. RNAcentral describes it as "bacterial SSU rRNA". It matches the Rfam family "Bacterial small subunit ribosomal RNA", at positions 8 to 868 of the family's 1533-position model. The record is from RNAcentral.